UUUUUUUUUUUUUUUUUUUGCUCUGUGGCAUGUGGAGUGGAAGUUCCAGACCAGGGAUCGAAGCUGCACCACAGCAGCGACAAUGCCAGUUUCUUAACUGCUAGGUCACCAAGGAACUCCCUCCCAAGGCUAUACUUAAGGCUUGGUUGUCGUAUAGUCUCUAGUGCUUGAGUGACAGAGAGGAAAAGAUAGAGAAGGUGAGACUUUUGUCUUUAUUCCUUUGCACACUGCUGGAAGCAGGUAAAGCUCUCUCCAUAAAUCUCUUUCCUGGUUCCUCAAAGUGUUAUCUGAGGACCUGCAGCAUCAUGUUGCCUGGGGGCUUGUUAGAAAUGCGGCAUCUCAAGACCCCAUCUGAUUCCACUGAACUGGAAUCUGCAUUGUAAUAAGACCCCCAGCUGAGAUUCAGAUGCUCAUUCAUGCUUGAGAAGCGCUCAUCUAGGAAGCGUUACACACAUCCUUUUCUUAGGUGACAGUAGAGCCAGCCUAUGAAAAACUGAAGGGACAUCACUGCUGCUACUAGGCAUUUCGUUAGGGAUGUGGUUGUGAGCUCAGUGUGAAUUAUGCAGUUAAGGACUUGGCUACACCUGGGACCCUAUAACAGCUUACUGAAAGGCCCGGUUGGUUUCUCCAUGUGCUCCUGGCUGAAAGAGGAGCAGGCUCUACCAGGAAACCAAGUGCAGCCAGUGAUUCCAUAACGCUGAUAUUCCCAUUCCUCAGGAUUUUAAAGCUGACAGAUUUUGAGAAAUAAUCUAGCCGUUAUGAUCCUAGUGAAGGACUGAGAAAAACAGCAUUAACUUCUAGGUUCAAAAAAAUGUGUCCUCUGUUUUCUUUGUAUCACCUUAAGACUCAACUGGGAGAGUGGGACUCUCGCAAAAUGAGCACUCAAUAAAUGUCAUUAACAGUGAUUUGCACCAGAGUAGUGAUAUUUUUAAUGCAAUUUAUUCCAACAAACGGUCUGCUUCCCAUGUUACCCUUUAUAUACACAGCAACCAGCAGCCUACACUGCUGAGUGUACAGAAUAUCAGGUUCCAGCUAAGUGUGAUUAGAUAUUGAUUUCUGAGCCCCACAAACAUUUAGCAAUGCAGAAACUCUUGAGCACUGGAUCAUUAUAAACUGAGGGCUGAUGUUGGCAGAAUUCCAGCGAUCACAAUUUGUGGAAAAAUUCUGCAGUGGCUGUAAAGCCCAGGCUGUGGACUUGACCCAUGUGUGUGGCCCUGAUCUGUGUCCUGGUCCACUUACCCUGUCUUUGCCCCUGUCUUUGCAGACGUAAUGCUUCUGGUUACCAAGGGGACUAGGCAAAGAGAUAUUUGGUGCAAACUCAAUCUUGACUGCUGGAAAAAAAAAACAACUCAGACUUAUAGGUGAUUAACUUCAAAUGAAGAAUAGCACAAUAUUAUUCUUUUAUGUUUGUAUUUUAUAUGUAGGAUUGCUUUUUUUUUAUUUGCUAUGGGAGUUGCUGUUAAAGAACUGUGAAAAAUAUUCCUUUACAGCUCAAAUAUGUGGUGUUGAGAAUAAGAGCUAAUCUGUUUACAAGUUGUGGAAUAAUAAAGAUGGCUUUUGUCGUAUCAAAUCAGAGCUUUAGCUGCCAGCAUACACCACAGCAGCACCAGGUCUGAGCCGCGUCUGCAACCUACACCGCAGCUCACCACAAGGCAGGAUCCUUAAACCAUUAUGCAAGACCAGGGAUCAAACUGAGUCCUCAUGGAUACUAGUCAGGUUCAUUACCACUGAGCCACAAUUGGAACUCUUCCAUUCUCAUUCAGAUUCUUUUCCCACACAGAUGAUCACAGAAUAUUGGGCAGAGUUCUCUGUGCUAUACAGCAGGUCCCUAGGGGCCAAUCAUUGCAUAUACCUCAGUGAGCAUAUGCCAAUGCCAAACCCCAGUCCACUCCACCCCACCCUGCCAGAUCUGUCCCUUUUGGUAACCAUAAAAGUGUCAAAGUCUGUGAGUCUGUUUCUGUUCUGCAAACAAGCUCAUUUGUAUUCUUUUUAAGGAUUCCACAUGUAAGUGAUAUCAGAUGAUGUUUGUCUUUCACUAACUUCACUUAGUAUGAUGAUUUCUAGGUCCGUCCAUGUUGCUGCAAUAGGCAUUAUUUCAUUCUUUUUGACGGCUGAGAAAUAUUCCAUUGUAUUUAUGUUGUACCACAUCUUCUUUAUUCACUCCUCUGUCAACGUUUAGGUUUCUUCCAUGUCUUGGCUAUUGUGAGUCGUGCUGCAAUGAACACUGGGGGUACACAUAUCUUUUUGAAUUAUGGUUUUCUCCAGAGAGAUGCCCAGGAGAGGAAUUGCUGGACCACAUGGUAGUUUUAUUUUUAGUUUUUUGAGGAACCUCCAUUCUCUUUUCCAUAGUGGUUGCACUAAUUUUCAUUCUCCCCAACAGCGUAAGAGGGUUCCUUCCCUUUUCUCCGUACCCUCACCAGCAUUUAUUAUUUGUAGACUUUUUGAUGAUGGCCAUUCUCGCUGGUGUAAGGUGAUAUCUCAUAGUAGUUUUGAUCGGCAUCCAAAUCUUACUGUUUCUUUAAGGCCCAAUUCAAAUACUGUUUUGUGUGUGUGUGUGUGUGUGUGUGUGUGUGUGUGUCUUUUUGCCAUUCUAGGGCCACUCCCAUGGCACAUGGAGGUUCCCAGCCUAGGGUUCUAAUCGGAGCUGUAGCCACCAGCCUGUGCCAGAGCCAUGGCAACGUGGGAUCCGAGCUGCGUCUGCAACCUACACCACAGCUCACAGCAAUGCCGGAUCCUUAACCCACUGAGCAAGGCCAGGGACCGAACCGCAACCUCAUGGUUCCUAGUUGGAUUCGUUAAGCACUGCGCCACAACAGGAACUCCUCAGAUUCUGUUUUCUGUGUGAGGCUGCAAAGUCCCACAAUUGGCAUAGUUUCUUCUUUUGAAUUAGUGUUAUUUUAUUUUGGCUUGUGUUUUCUACCUAUCGUAUGCUUUAUUAUCCCUUUUCCUUCUGCUUAGACUCAUGAUAUAUCUCUGACGUAUAUGUAUACACAGUGGAAACUCAAUAACUGUUUAUUAAGUGAAGACAUGCGUGAUUGUCUUCAAAAUGGAUGGAAAGCCAUCCUGCUUUGUCAUUGCCUUCCCUCGGACACCAAGUUGGCUUUUGUGUCGAUGGAGGUGAAAGUACCUGUGUAUGGCCUCAGUCUACACGCCUCAGUUACAGUUGCCUUAUAGCCAUCUCCCCUCAGUCUCCAAGAGAGCCAAGGUGCCAUUGCUUUUUUUUUUGGUGGUGGGCGGGGGGAGCUUGUAUCUGAAGUGUAUGGAAGUUCCCGGGCCAGGGAUUGAAUGUGAGCCGCAGCUGUGACCUACACCACAGCUGUGACCUACACCACAGCUGUGGCAACACCAGAUCCUUACUUAACUCACUGUGCCAGGCUGAGGAUUGAACCUGCACCUUUGCAGCCACCCAAGCCACUACAAUCAGAUCCUUAACCCAGUGGGAACUCCUGCCUUUUCGCUUAAAUCUGCCUCUGGUUGAUCCCUCUCCCCUUCUUUCCUCUUAUUACUCUUCAGUUAAGUUUUUUCUUUCUUGUUUAAGUGACUCUUCUUUACAAAGAUCUAAAUACUUAGUUUCCAGGCAUGGAUGGUCAUCGGAGGGAAAAUGGAUGUUCUGCAGGGUGCUGUGGGGUGAAACCCUUUUGAAAGUACCAAGACCGAUAAGGCUGUCUGCUUAUCUUCCUGCUGGCAAAGGACGAGCUAUUUACUGAGCUAAAAUGAUAAAUAUUCCAAGAGCAAGCUCUGAAGUCACCAUGCCCCACAGUAUUCUUUGCAGUCUCUCUGGUUUCGAUAACUGAUAAAUCCACUAGAUGUAAAUCUUAGCCAGUAAAAGAGCCAGUGGAUAAUUGUUUUGGGUUUGAGGGCCUCUGCUGAAAUGAUUUUCAAGUUGCUAAUAAUCUUAGAACCAACUUCAAAGAGAUGGAUUAAUGCGGUCCCUUUUCACAUUUGUAUGUAACAUUUUUUCCCACAUCCAGCUAUUUAUUCAUUUAAAUUUUUUGUUCUGAAACACAAAAGUUAUCUCAUUUUUGGUUUGGAAUUCGCAUUUUAAGAGGUUACUAGAAAAGUCCUCUGAUUCACCUGUAAUUGAAGAGUUCUCCUUUGAAGUUCAAAUCUUUCUUAGCUCUAAUUUGAAAGGGAGUUAUGUUUCUGUGAUGGACUCAUGACAUUUCUUAUUGGGGAUAUAAAAGGUCAGAUUUUAAUGCCUUCUUGUGAUAUAUGCAUCUGGCUCAAGAUCAGGCAGUUUUGAAUGAUGGCAUUUAAUUGUAAUUUAGUGAAGGGGUAAGAGAUAAGAAAUUAUGGCUUUGCUGCAAUGCCUGAACUAUACACCGUUUCCUUAGCCCUCUGCAUGGGGGUUUGUGGGUUGGAAGCUGCAACUUAAAGGAGCCUUUCGGGGAUGCCAUGAUGAUGCUCUGAGUUAAGAGCAAAAGCUGGUCCUGGCUCAAGUUCUAGUGACUGUCUGACAUCCUGCCUUUGAAACAUAAAGACAAAGGUAUAAGUCCUUGUCUUCUGAACAUUCUGGAACUCCCAGAUGGAUAUUUCCCUGUUAACCUCCCGUUUUAUCCAGCUGCCUCAGACUUCUUACGUUGUCACUUCCUUUUCUCCUAGUAAAAAUUCUUGAGUUUACAAAGAUACCUACCCCCUUCCUUCCUUUGUUGUGUAGAACAAAGGACUGCUUAAGAUCAAAUCAACUGAAUGAGUAUUCUCCCUUCUCAAUCUAAGAAAAUUACUUCUCUUUCUGUUUUAAAUGAAUCAAAGAAUUGAUCUAACUAGCAGGUAUGAGUUAGUCAUACAUUUAUUAGGAACAGCGAUAAUGUGUUAGAAAAAGUAGUGGGGCUGGAUAAGCUCUCAAUUCUUAUUAGAACUUAGACUCGGGAGUUCUCUUGUGGCGCAGCAGGUUAAGAAGCUGGCAUCACUGCAGCAGCUGCUGCUGAGGUGUGGGUUCAGUCCCUGGCCCAGGAACUUCCACAUGCUGCGGGUGGGGCAAAAAAAAAGAAAAA
RNAcentral lists this long non-coding RNA (4994 nucleotides) under Sus scrofa (pig). Its description in RNAcentral is "lncRNA (ENSSSCG00015065158.1)". Lineage: Eukaryota; Metazoa; Chordata; Mammalia; Artiodactyla; Suidae. The record is from RNAcentral.